UACAGAGGGUGCAAACGUUGUUCGGAAUUACUGGGCGUAAAGCGCGUGCAGGCGGCCUUGCAAGUCGGACGUGAAAUCCCACGGCUCAACCGUGGAAGUGCAUUCGAAACUGCGAGGCUGGAGUCCUGGAGAGGAAAGUGGAAUACUCGGUGUAGAGGUGAAAUUCGUAGAUAUCGAGUGGAACACCGGUGGCGAAGGCGGCUUUCUGGACAGGUGCUGACGCUGAGACGCGAAAGCGUGGGGAGCAAACAGG
This 253-nucleotide ribosomal RNA is filed under the name uncultured bacterium. RNAcentral's name for it is "partial 16S ribosomal RNA". It matches the Rfam family "Bacterial small subunit ribosomal RNA", at positions 524 to 776 of the family's 1533-position model. The record is from RNAcentral.